AACGAACGCUGGCGGCGUGGCUAAGGCGUGCAAGUCGAACGAGUUCCACCUGGGUAACUGGGUGAGAAAAGUGGCGGAAGGGGCAGUAAGGCAUGGAUAAUCUACCCUGAUGACCGGGAUAGCUGUCCCAACGGGCAGGUCAUACCGGAUGAGCUGGUGGGCCCGCGUGGUUCUGCCAGUAAAGGCGCAAGCCGUGUCGGGAGGAAGCCAUGUGAUAUUAGGUAGUUGGUGGGGUAUAGGCGCACCAAGGCGAAGAUGUCUAGCGGGUGGGAGAGCACGACCGGUGCCAUUGGCACCGAGACACGGGCCAGACUCCUGCGGGCGGCGGCAGUCGAGGGUCUUCGGCAAUGGGCGAUAGCCUGACCGAGCGACGCCGCGUGAGCGAUGAAGGAUAUUAGGUUGUAAAGCGCUGUCGAGGGGGAACAGGCCGCAAGGUGGAGUGAUCCCUGGAGGAAGCACCGGCUAAGUUCGUG
This 473-nucleotide ribosomal RNA is filed under the name uncultured bacterium. Its description in RNAcentral is "partial 16S ribosomal RNA". It matches the Rfam family "Bacterial small subunit ribosomal RNA", at positions 28 to 507 of the family's 1533-position model. The record is from RNAcentral.